UCCCAAUCAGGAGUACUAGGAUGCCUGGAGGUACUUGGCUUAUCCACAGUGGGUACUAGGACCCCUGGGGGUACUUGGCCUAUCCACAGUGGGUACUAGGACCCCUGGGGGUACUUGGCUUAUCCACAGUGGGUACUAGGACCCCUGGGGGUACUUGGCCUAUCCACAGUGGGUACUAGGACCCCUGGAGGUACUUGGCCUAUCCACAGUGGGUACUAGGACCCCUGGAGGUACUUGGCCUAUCCACAGUGGGUACUAGGACCCCUGGGGGUACUUGGCCUAUCCACAGUGGGUACUAGGACCCCUGGGGGUACUUGGCCUAUCCACAGUGGGUACUAGGACCCCUGGAGGUACUUGGCCUAUCCACAGUGGGUACUAGGACCCCUGGGGGUACUUGGCCUAUCCACAGUGGGUACUAGGACCCCUGGAGGUACUUGGCCUAUCCACAGUGGGUACUAGGACACCUGGAGGUACUCGGUACCUAUCCACAGGGUGUACAUGAGAGGACUCAUGAGAUCAUGGGCUUAAAAUGCACAUGAAGGGGUACUUAAGGGUUACACUGGGCAGAGAAACAUUCAGUUGGUGGCACAGUAACCCAAAAAGGUUGGGGACCACUG
Oncorhynchus keta (chum salmon) is the source of this 617-nucleotide long non-coding RNA. RefSeq lists it as uncharacterized. The transcript has 3 exons. The record is from RefSeq and is a predicted model, not a curated record. Lineage: Eukaryota; Metazoa; Chordata; Actinopteri; Salmoniformes; Salmonidae.